RNAcentral lists this long non-coding RNA (2159 nucleotides) under Monodelphis domestica (gray short-tailed opossum). RNAcentral's name for it is "lncRNA (ENSMODG00000046102.1)". The record is from RNAcentral. Lineage: Eukaryota; Metazoa; Chordata; Mammalia; Didelphimorphia; Didelphidae.
GUCAUUUCUGUGUUCAGAAAGGUUAAGAUGAUGUUAUAAAACACAAGAGAUCUGGACAAGAGAUCUCCUAAACUCAUACAUUCUGAAGCUGCCCAUUUUAAGUCUUCCAGUGGGGAAGAUUGGACCAGGUUGUAGCUGCUACAUAGACUACAGCUUACUGGGGCCACAGGGAGAGUUGGGUGACAAGUGGACACCAAAGGGAGGUGACAACCCUGAAAAGGGGUGAGUAGCCCUCUCACCAGAGCUGCUAGCUUUCCCUGACUGCCUUAUACACCCCAAAGUUUCAUUUUAAUCUUGUCUCACUCUACUUGGAAGUAUUAUGUGUCCCACUUCUGCAUUAAGCCACACUGCCUCUAACUUUUCACUUAUAGCAGCUUCCUUUGACAUUAAAAUGGCCCACUAUUUCUGCUUUGUUGCAGAGUCUGGGGGUUAUUUGGGAUUAAGACAAGAGAAUAAAGGCACUUCAGCUGAUAAAGCAUCAGGUCUCUACAACCCAAGAAUUCCUCCCUGUGAUUCUCUAUUGUUGUCUGUACUGAAUCCAGUCAGGUUAUAUCUCCAAGAAGAGGCUGCAGAGGACCCCUUGGUUUCCUUCUGGUGAAGCCAUGUCUGUCUAUCCCAAGUCAGCAAGUAGGGAGAACAAACUAAUUUUGGGAACUGACUGAGAUGAAUCUGUGUUGCAGUGUCAAUAGCUGUAUCUUUGACAGCUCCUUCAGAUCCAUUUCCUCUGAGGUAGGGUGUGUGACUUCAGACCUUAAUAUUUUACCUGGUUGAAUGGGGAUGGGUGUUGAAAAAGAGAUCAGGAGGCUGAGAGAGAAAGGAAAAGCAUUUGUUUAGGUUAGAAACCUAUUCAACUGCCUACAAUUUCACUGCCUUCUUUAAGAACCUUGGGUCAUAGGUACAAGACAGUAUUGAUUGGAGUCUGGGUUAGAGAGCAGACUAGGUUAGAGAACAGACUGGAUAUGGUAGGAGAAGGAAUCUGGAGCCUAUUUCACAAAGAGAGAGACAGAGAUAAGAGAGAGACAGAGAUAAGAGAGAGAGGAAGAGAGACAGGAGGGAGAAAGAGAGACUGGGAGAGAGAGAGAGAAAAAGACAGAGAAGGAGAGAGAGAGAGAGGAGAGAGAGAGAAAAGAGAGGAGAGGAGAGAAAGAGAGAGAGGAGAGAGAGAAAGAGAGAGGAGAGAGAAGAGAGAGAGAAAUGAGAGAAGAGAGAGAGAAGACACAGGCAGAGGGAGAGAAGAGAGAGAGGAAACACAGAGAACAGACAGACAGAGAAAGAGAGAGACGCGAGAGAGGAGUGAGAACAGACAUAAGACAGAGAGAGAAGAGAGAGAGAAGAGAGAGAAGAGAGAGAAAAGAGAGAAGAGAGAGAGAAAGAGAGAGAGAGGAGAGAGAGAAGAGAGAGAAAAGAGAGAAGAGAGAGAGAAAGAGAGAGAGAAGAGAGAGAGAGAGAGAGAGAGAGAGAGAGAGAGAGAGAGAGAGAGAGAGAGAGAGAGAGAGAGAGAGAGAGUGCAAUGAGAUUAAGAAGUCAGUUUUGCAUGAAAGGGGUUCAUUAUGUGUGGAGGGCAGUGGCAAAUGACAGAUCGCCAGAGUUAGUAAGAGCAGUGUGAGGAUGAUUUCUAUGAGUAUAUAUGGAGAGUGAGGAAAGGAAUGAGUCAGUGAGUGACAGGGCAAAACUGUCAUCAAAGCCUUAGUCUGGGAGAGACCGUACUUGGGCAAUGCGAGGACAUCCUCCCUCCCCCAAAGACAGCAAUUGAACCAGCCCUGAUGUAACUUUAAGGUCAGGUUUGUCAUAGGCAACAUAUCUGAAUCAUGAAUUUCUAAGCUCCUCCUGGUUCUAUUUUUGGAAGAGAUUGCCCUGGAGAAGGAGGUACAGAUUGACUUGGGGCAGAAAAUGAGUUAGAGCCAAUGACUGUAGUGUGCCAAUAGAAGACUAAUUGUUAGGGAUAAUGACCUUUUUUGAUUUUUUUCUCCUCUGUGACACACUUAGAAGUUUUCUAAGUGAUUGAAAAUUGGGAAAAGAAUUGAAUUCUUAGUUUCAUUUCUGUUCAGUCUCUAGACAUGGACUAAAAAGGUAAUCCUAGUGAUUCUGUGGCUAGGGGGUUCUUGGUACAACAUCUAAGUUCUGGGACCAUUUUCAUAUUUCCUCACUAUUAUCUUAAG